UUUCAGUGUUAGUUAAGUAUGAAACUAUUGCAGCUACUUUUAUUUUACUCCUGCCUUCAUAAAAAGCUACCGAGUUAUAACAGAUAAUUACAAAGACUAAAGUACAUGCUUUACUAUAAUUAGGACCGGGCAACCCAAGAUGAACACUACACCGUGGAAGAGUCCUACAACCAGGUUAUUGAUGCAUAUUUGAGCUGUGUAGUUGAGAAAGCAGAUGGAAAGGUAGAAGCCAUCUCAGCAGUAGUUUCCACUGUCAUUCUCUCAGGAAGAGCUACUC
Molecule: long non-coding RNA, 277 nt
Organism: Mauremys mutica (yellowpond turtle)
Lineage: Eukaryota; Metazoa; Chordata; Testudines; Geoemydidae
Exons: 3
Source: RefSeq, a predicted model, not a curated record